GAUGAAGAACGUAGUGAAAUGCGAUAAGUAGUGUGAAUUGCAGAAUUCAGUGAAUCAUCGAAUCUUUGAACGCUCAUUGCGCCCCAUGGUAUUCCGUGGGGCAUGCCUGUUCGAGCGUCAUUUACCCCCUCAAGCUCCGCUUGGUGUUGGGCGUCUGUCCCGCUUCGCGCGCGGACUCGCCCCAAAGGUAUUGGCAGCGGUCGUGCCAGCUUCUCGCGCAGCACAUUGCGCUUCUCGAGGCACCGGUGGGCCCGCGUCCAUCAAGCUCACCCCCCCAGUUUGACCUCGGAUCAGGUAGGGAUACCCGCUGAACUUAAGCAUAUCAAUAAGCGGAGGA
This 337-nucleotide unclassified non-coding RNA is filed under the name soil metagenome. RNAcentral describes it as "partial contains 5.8S ribosomal RNA, internal transcribed spacer 2, and large subunit ribosomal RNA". The stretch from base 1 to 120 matches the Rfam family "5.8S ribosomal RNA", at positions 35 to 154 of the family's 154-position model. The record is from RNAcentral.